RNAcentral lists this ribosomal RNA (351 nucleotides) under uncultured Pseudomonas sp. RNAcentral's name for it is "bacterial SSU rRNA". It matches the Rfam family "Bacterial small subunit ribosomal RNA", at positions 1030 to 1382 of the family's 1533-position model. Lineage: Bacteria; Pseudomonadati; Pseudomonadota; Gammaproteobacteria; Pseudomonadales; Pseudomonadaceae. The record is from RNAcentral.
UGACACAGGUGCUGCAUGGCUGUCGUCAGCUCGUGCGUGAGAUGUUGGGUUAAGUCCCGUAACGAGCGCAACCCUUGUCCUUAGUUACCAGCACGUUAUGGUGGGCACUCUAAGGAGACUGCCGGUGACAACCGGAGGAAGGUGGGGAUGACGUCAAGUCAUCAUGGCCCUUACGGCCUGGGCUACACACGUGCUACAAUGGUCGGUACAAAGGGUUGCCAAGCCGCGAGGUGGAGCUAAUCCCAUAAAACCGAUCGUAGUCCGGAUCGCAGUCUGCAACUCGACUGCGUGAAGUCGGAAUCGCUAGUAAUCGUGAAUCAGAAUGUCACGGUGAAUACGUUCCCGGGCCUU